RNAcentral lists this ribosomal RNA (253 nucleotides) under uncultured bacterium. Its description in RNAcentral is "partial 16S ribosomal RNA". It matches the Rfam family "Bacterial small subunit ribosomal RNA", at positions 524 to 776 of the family's 1533-position model. The record is from RNAcentral.
UACGUAGGUGACUAGCGUUGUCCGGAUUUACUGGGCGUAAAGAGCGCGCAGGCGGUCGUUCAAGUCGAGUGUGAAAGCCCCCGGCUCAACUGGGGAGGGUCAUUCGAUACUGAUCGACUCGAAGGCAGGAGAGGGAAGCGGAAUUCCCGGUGUAGCGGUGAAAUGCGUAGAUAUCGGAAGGAACAUCAGUGGCGAAAGCGGCUUCCUGGACCAGCACCGACGUUCAGGCACGAAAGCGUGGGGAGCAAACAGG